RNAcentral lists this ribosomal RNA (372 nucleotides) under uncultured organism. RNAcentral's name for it is "partial 16S ribosomal RNA". It matches the Rfam family "Bacterial small subunit ribosomal RNA", at positions 527 to 896 of the family's 1533-position model. The record is from RNAcentral.
GUAGGUGGCAAGCGUUGUCCGGAAUUAUUGGGCGUAAAGCGCGCGCAGGCGGUUCUUUAAGUCUGAUGUGAAAGCCCACGGCUCAACCGUGGAGGGUCAUUGGAAACUGGAGAACUUGAGUACAGAAGAGGAAAGCGGAAUUCCACGUGUAGCGGUGAAAUGCGUAGAGAUGUGGAGGAACACCAGUGGCGAAGGCGGCUUUCUGGUCUGUAACUGACGCUGAGGCGCGAAAGCGUGGGGAGCAAACAGGAUUAGAUACCCUGGUAGUCCACGCCGUAAACGAUGAGUGCUAAGUGUUAGGGGGCUUCCGCCCCUUAGUGCUGCAGCUAACGCAUUAAGCACUCCCGCCCUGGGAGUACGGCCGCAAGGCUG